CGGAUCGAUUAGCCAUGCUAGUCGCACGAGUUCAGACUCGUGGCAUAUAGCUCAGUAACACGUGGCCAAACUACCCUACAGACCGCGAUAACCUCGGGAAACUGAGGCCAAUAGCGGAUAUCACUCUCAGACUGGAGUGUCGAGAGUGAGAAACGUUCUGGCGCUGUAGGAUGUGGCUGCGGCCGAUUAGGUAGAUGGUGGGGUAACGGCCCACCAUGCCGAUAAUCGGUACGGGUUGUGAGAGCAAGAGCCCGGAGACGGUAUCUGAGACAAGAUACCGGGCCCUACGGGGCGCAGCAGGCGCGAAACCUUUACACUGCACGACAGUGCGAUAGGGGGACUCCGAGUGUGAGGGCAUAUAGCCCUCGCUUUUCUGUACCGUAAGGUGGUACAGGAACAAGGACUGGGCAAGACCGGUGCCAGCCGCCGCGGUAAUACCGGCAGUCCAAGUGAUGGCCGAUAUUAUUGGGCCUAAAGCGUCCGUAGCCGGCCGUGCAAGUCCAUUGGGAAAUCGACCAGCUCAACUGGUCGGCGUCCGGUGGAAACUACCCAGCUUGGGGCCGAGAGACUCAACGGGUACGUCCGGGGUAGGAGUGAAAUCCUGUAAUCCUGGACGGACCACCAAUGGGGAAACCACGUUGAGAGACCGGACCCGACAGUGAGGGACGAAAGCUAGGGUCUCGAACCGGAUUAGAUACCCGGGUAGUCCUAGCUGUAAACGAUGCUCGCUA
This 731-nucleotide ribosomal RNA is filed under the name Haloarcula argentinensis. RNAcentral describes it as "bacterial SSU rRNA". It matches the Rfam family "Archaeal small subunit ribosomal RNA", at positions 34 to 769 of the family's 1478-position model. The record is from RNAcentral. Lineage: Archaea; Methanobacteriati; Methanobacteriota; Halobacteria; Halobacteriales; Haloarculaceae.